RNAcentral lists this ribosomal RNA (494 nucleotides) under uncultured bacterium. RNAcentral's name for it is "partial 16S ribosomal RNA". It matches the Rfam family "Bacterial small subunit ribosomal RNA", at positions 28 to 506 of the family's 1533-position model. The record is from RNAcentral.
GACGAACGCUGGCGGCGUGCCUAAUACAUGCAAGUAGAACGCUGAAGGAGGAGCUUGCUUCUCUGGAUGAGUUGCGAACGGGUGAGUAACGCGUAGGUAACCUGCCUGGUAGCGGGGGAUAACUAUUGGAAACGAUAGCUAAUACCGCAUAAUAGCAGUUGUUGCAUGACAACUGUUUGAAAGGUGCAAUUGCACCACUACCAGAUGGAACUGCGUUGUAUUAGCUAGUUGGUGGGGUAACGGCUCACCAAGGCGACGAUACAUAGCCGACCUGAGAGGGUGAUCGGCCACACUGGGACUGAGACACGGCCCAGACUCCUACGGGAGGCAGCAGUAGGGAAUCUUCGGCAAAGGACGGAAGUCUGACCGAGCAACGCCGCGUGAGUGAAGAAGGUUUUCGGAUCGUAAAGCUCUGUUGUAAGAGAAGAACGAGUGUGAGAGUGGAAAGUUCAAACUGUGACGGUAUCUUACCAGAAAGGGACGGCUAACUACGU